AGUGUCCUUGUCUUUGGGGAGCAAAGUGUUCAAUGAUCGUUUAGUGAGAAUGCUGUUGCUGAAACCCAUUGUUAAAAUUAAUUAACUGCAUCCGUGUUUUAAACCACGAGAUGCAAUUUUUGGAAGG
Molecule: small nuclear RNA, 127 nt
Organism: Lasius niger
Lineage: Eukaryota; Metazoa; Arthropoda; Insecta; Hymenoptera; Formicidae
Rfam family: U4atac minor spliceosomal RNA
About the family: U4atac is an essential component of the minor U12-type spliceosome complex which is required for removal of the rarer class of eukaryotic introns (AT-AC, U12-type).
Source: Rfam